CUGUGACUUCCAAACUAGGUCAUAUAAGGUAAUAUGACUUCAUCCUGGCCCUUCUCUCUUGGGACGCUCACCAUGGAACCUAGCUGAGAGGAAGCCCAGGCAACGUGGUGAUGCCACACAUGGGUAUUCUGCUCAACAGCCCCAGCUAAGGUCCCAGCCAACAGCCAGCUUUGACUACCAGACAUGUGAAUGAAUGAACCUUCAGAUAACUCCAGCCCCACCUUUGAGUCUUUCAGCUGAGCCUCAGACACUAUGAAGCAGACUAGCUGUCCUCAAAAUGCCGUGUGCGAAUUCCUGACCUACAGGAACCAUGAAAAUAGUAUAGCCAAAUAUUUGUCCAAAGCAGUUGAGCCAGCAACGUAAGAGAGUUCCAAUUGCUUCCUGUCUUCACCAGCGUUUGGGAAACAUUCUGGUCAGUUGUAACAGUGACUGGAUCAUCCAAUACGCGUUUGUGGAAAGCAGAAUGGCGGAGAGGGACGUGGAAGGAUAGAGAAAGAGACGCAGGAGGGGAAGAAGAAUGCAGCAGCUGUGAUGCAAUUCCAGUCCCAGGCCUUAAGAAGAUCUGGCAGCUUCUGCUUUUGCUCCCUGGGGGAAGCCAGCCCGCUGUGAGCAGUCCAACUAUCCUGAGAGAUCACCUGGAGAGGCCAAGCAGAGGAGAACUGAGGAACCCAGCCAACACCAAGGACUGAAGCCUAGAUAUAUGACCCCACUUGAAUUGUUCCAACCAGACCUCAGCUUUUUGAGCCAUUCCAGCUGAGGCCCCAGACAUCACAGAACAGAGAUGAGCUAUUCCCACCAUGCUCUGAUCAAGUUACUGACCCACAAAGCCAUGUUCCAAUGAAAUGCUGUUUUAAGCCACUAAGUUGUGGGAUAGUUUGUUGCACAGCAAAAGAUACCUGAAACAGGAGAUAUUCACCACGAAAAUGACAAUUCCUUUCAUCAUUCUCAGUUUUUAUUCUCCUUAAAAUAUGCCUGUGGGAAGAAAACAACUCUUAAUACAAGGUAAAAGUCAUAAUAGAGGAGAUAUUUGGG
Molecule: long non-coding RNA, 1032 nt
Filed under: Equus caballus (horse)
Lineage: Eukaryota; Metazoa; Chordata; Mammalia; Perissodactyla; Equidae
Description: lncRNA (ENSECAG00000049478.1)
Source: RNAcentral